UACGGAGGGUGCAAGCGUUAUCCGGAAUCACUGGGCGUAAAGGGCGCGUAGGCGGUCUGUUAAGUCCGAUGUUAAAGCCCGGGGCUCAACCCCGGCACGGCGUUGGAUACUGGCAGGCUUGACGGCUGGAGAGGCGAGUGGAAUUACCAGUGUAGCGGUGGAAUGCGUAGAUACUGGUAGGAACACCUAUGGCGAAGGCAGCUCGCUGGACAGCACGUGACGCUGAGGCGCGAAAGUGUGGGGAGCAAAC
This 250-nucleotide ribosomal RNA is filed under the name uncultured bacterium. RNAcentral's name for it is "partial 16S ribosomal RNA". It matches the Rfam family "Bacterial small subunit ribosomal RNA", at positions 524 to 773 of the family's 1533-position model. The record is from RNAcentral.